Molecule: ribosomal RNA, 480 nt
Filed under: uncultured bacterium
Lineage: Bacteria
Description: bacterial SSU rRNA
Rfam family: Bacterial small subunit ribosomal RNA
Source: RNAcentral
AACGAACGCUGGCGGCGUGACUAACACAUGCAAGUCGAACGGGGAAAGUAGCAAUACGAGUACUAGUGGCGCACGGGUGAGGAAUACAUGGGUAAUCUGCCCUCGAGCUCGGGAUAACCAGUCGAAAGACUGGCUAAUACCGGAUAUGACCACAAGAUCUGAGGAUCAAGGGGUAAAAGGUUUUUCGCUCGAGGAUGAGCCCAUGUGGGAUUAGCUAGUUGGUGUAGGUAACGGCUCACCAAGGCGACGAUCCCUAACUGGUCUUAGAGGAUGAUCAGUCACACUGGAACUGAGACACGGUCCAGACUCCUACGGGAGGCAGCAGUAGGGAAUAUUGCACAAUGGAGGAAACUCUGAUGCAGCGACGCCGCGUGAGUGAUGAAGGCCUUCGGGUCGUAAAGCUCUGUCGUAUGGGACUAACAAAAUGAAGGUACCAUGCAAGAAAGGAUCGGCUAACUUCGUGCCAGCAGCCGCGGUAAU